GUCGCGUGGCUGUGACAAUAGGUAAAGAGUUAUAUUUUUAAUAGUUAGUGUAUAUAAGUCUAUAUGACACAUGUUGUUGUGUAUCUUUCUGUUCACUGACUCGCUGUAUCUACAGAUUAACGAUAUCUACACCUGUACCUUCAGAUUAACGAUAUCUACACCUGUGCCUACGGACACCUGAACAACAAUCAUGAGAUGCUUAAUGGUCACCGUGUGUAUUGUCCUGUGUGCAGUUACAUUUGGAGAAUCUAAAAUAAGAAGCAAGCGGCAAGCAGCUUAUGGAUAUGGUGGAUACGGUGCUGUAGAUCCUAAUGCUCAACAAACAGCUUAUGGAAUGCCAUCUCAAUAUCCCUCUGCUAAUGGGGCUGCGGUAGAUCCAGCUCAAUAUAAUGCUUACGGUGCAGCAGCUAAUCCAGCAGGUUAUGGCAACGCUGCUUAUCAACCUGCUUACCAACAAGCAGCAGCUAACCCAGCUUAUGGUAAUGUUGCUUACCAACAAACAGCAGCCAAUCCUGCAUAUGCUGCUGCUCCAGCUGCCAAUCCUGCAUAUGCUGCUGCUCCAGCUGCCAAUCCUGCAUAUGCUGCUGCUCCAGCUGCCAAUCCUGCAUUUGCUGCUGCUCUACCUGCCAAUCCUGCAUAUGCUGCUGCUCCAGCUGCCAGUCCUUACGGUUACGCUACUACUCCCUAGAGAAACUGUGCUUGCAACAUUUAUAUACACACUUGUUUUUGUAAAUAAGCCGGAUUGAAGAGUUGUUCCCAUGUUAUAAAUAAAAAUAACAAAACCAUUA
This is a long non-coding RNA of Patella vulgata (common limpet), 788 nucleotides long. RefSeq lists it as uncharacterized. Lineage: Eukaryota; Metazoa; Mollusca; Gastropoda; Patellidae. The record is from RefSeq and is a predicted model, not a curated record. The transcript is spliced from 2 exons.